RNAcentral lists this transfer RNA (72 nucleotides) under Ictidomys tridecemlineatus (thirteen-lined ground squirrel). RNAcentral describes it as "Spermophilus tridecemlineatus (thirteen-lined ground squirrel) tRNA". It matches the Rfam family "tRNA". Rfam says of the family: Transfer RNA (tRNA) molecules are approximately 80 nucleotides in length. Their secondary structure includes four short double-helical elements and three loops (D, anti-codon, and T loops). Further hydrogen bonds mediate the characteristic L-shaped molecular structure. tRNAs have two regions of fundamental functional importance: the anti-codon, which is responsible for specific mRNA codon recognition, and the 3' end, to which the tRNAs corresponding amino acid is attached (by aminoacyl-tRNA synthetases). tRNAs cope with the degeneracy of the genetic code in two manners: having more than one tRNA (with a specific anti-codon) for a particular amino acid; and 'wobble' base-pairing, i.e. permitting non-standard base-pairing at the 3rd anti-codon position. The record is from Rfam by way of RNAcentral. Lineage: Eukaryota; Metazoa; Chordata; Mammalia; Rodentia; Sciuridae.
GGGGGCAUAGCUCAGUGGUAGAGUGUGUGCUUAUCAUGCAUGAACCCUCUGGUUCAAUCUCUAGUGCCCCAA